UUCUAGGAUUGGUUGUCCACUCAUAACCAUAAGAUAAUUAAAACGGGGGGGGGGGCAGGGUAAAAAAAAAACCCUUUUAUCAGCCAUAGGUUAAUGCAAGUGUUUAACAGAUGCUUCGCUAUUAAAAUAUUUUCCCCCAAUACUGAAGAAUCUUAAACCAGCAACCCUAACAGAGAUUGCGAAGAUUUUCAAAGUGGGGCACCUCGAUUUCUCGAAUCUGUGGUGUGGCGAAUAUCCGUGUUCCUCCUGCUUAACUAGCCUGUUUGAAGGCACAGUUCAUUCUCGAGUAAUUCGUCACCUCCUGGGGGUCUUCUCUUCCCGUCUACAGGAGAGUGUGACUUCAGAAAGAACUUCGGAUUGGCCAAGGCCAUUAAAGCUGGUGAGCGACUUGGAAGUCAUUUAG
RNAcentral lists this long non-coding RNA (403 nucleotides) under Mus spicilegus (steppe mouse). RNAcentral describes it as "lncRNA (ENSMSIG00000003260.1)". The record is from RNAcentral. Lineage: Eukaryota; Metazoa; Chordata; Mammalia; Rodentia; Muridae.